GGUCCGGUAAGACCCCUUUUUGGCCCCAAAAUAUAGCAGUUUUACAAAAUUGUUAAAAUGUAAACUUUUAUUUAUUAAUUGAACAGUAGAAUGCUUCUGUUACAUAAAUAUGGGCUGUUUAUGACAAUACAAUGCACAUAUAUCGGGUACAAGCACCAUUAAGUCAUGCUAAAUCACUGAAAUCUUCACAAUUCUAGCAUUUUAGUUAAAUUUUA
This 215-nucleotide long non-coding RNA is filed under the name Mytilus galloprovincialis (Mediterranean mussel). Lineage: Eukaryota; Metazoa; Mollusca; Bivalvia; Mytilida; Mytilidae. The record is from RNAcentral.